GGUCCCGCCUGCCCAGUGACUCUUUAAACGGCCGCGGUAUCCUAACCGUGCAAAGGUAGCAUAAUCACUUGUCCCCUAAAUAGGGACUGGUAUGAAUGGCUAAAUGAGGACUAAACUGUCUCUUGCGGACUAGCCAAUGAAAUUGAUUUUCCAGUACAAAAGCUGGAAUAUACCCAUAAGACGAGAAGACCCUGUGGAGCUUCAAAACCAAAUCACCCAGCAUGCUUAUUGGAUUUUUAGUUGGGGCGACUUCGGAAUAUAGUAAAACUUCCAAAAAUAAAUUAAUUUCAUCAAGGUUAACACACCAAAAUUUCUUUAUAGACCCAGCAACUAACUUUAUUUGUCUGACCAAUGAACCAAGUUACCCCAGGGAUAACAGCGCAAUCUCCUUUUAGAGUCCAUAUCGACAAGGGGGUUUACGACCUCGAUGUUGGAUCAGGACACCCCAAUGGUGCAGCCGCCAUUAAAGGUUCGUUUGUUCAACGAUUAACAGUCCU
This 497-nucleotide ribosomal RNA is filed under the name Lacerta viridis (green lizard). RNAcentral's name for it is "partial 16S ribosomal RNA". It matches the Rfam family "Bacterial large subunit ribosomal RNA", at positions 1851 to 2597 of the family's 2925-position model. Lineage: Eukaryota; Metazoa; Chordata; Lepidosauria; Squamata; Lacertidae. The record is from RNAcentral.